RNAcentral lists this ribosomal RNA (344 nucleotides) under Salmonella enterica. RNAcentral's name for it is "partial 16S ribosomal RNA". It matches the Rfam family "Bacterial small subunit ribosomal RNA", at positions 627 to 970 of the family's 1533-position model. The record is from RNAcentral. RNAcentral also lists the same sequence under 3 other names. Lineage: Bacteria; Pseudomonadati; Pseudomonadota; Gammaproteobacteria; Enterobacterales; Enterobacteriaceae.
UCGAAACUGGCAGGCUUGAGUCUUGUAGAGGGGGGUAGAAUUCCAGGUGUAGCGGUGAAAUGCGUAGAGAUCUGGAGGAAUACCGGUGGCGAAGGCGGCCCCCUGGACAAAGACUGACGCUCAGGUGCGAAAGCGUGGGGAGCAAACAGGAUUAGAUACCCUGGUAGUCCACGCCGUAAACGAUGUCUACUUGGAGGUUGUGCCCUUGAGGCGUGGCUUCCGGAGCUAACGCGUUAAGUAGACCGCCUGGGGAGUACGGCCGCAAGGUUAAAACUCAAAUGAAUUGACGGGGGCCCGCACAAGCGGUGGAGCAUGUGGUUUAAUUCGAUGCAACGCGAAGAACC